RNAcentral lists this ribosomal RNA (557 nucleotides) under uncultured bacterium. RNAcentral describes it as "partial 16S ribosomal RNA". It matches the Rfam family "Bacterial small subunit ribosomal RNA", at positions 354 to 899 of the family's 1533-position model. The record is from RNAcentral.
UGGGGGAAUUUUGGACAAUGGGCGAAAGCCUGAUCCAGCAAUGCCGCGUGUGUGAAGAAGGCCUUCGGGUUGUAAAGCACUUUUGUCCGGAAAGAAAUCCUUGGCUCUAAUACAGUCGGGGGGAUGACGGUACCGGAAGAAUAAGCACCGGCUAACUACGUGCCAGCAGCCGCGGUAAUACGUAGGGUGCAAGCGUUAAUCGGAAUUACUGGGCGUAAGCGUGCGCAGGCGGUUUGCUAAGACCGAUGUGAAAUCCCCGGGCUCAACCUGGGAACUGCAUUGGUGACUGGCAGGCUAGAGUAUGGCAGAGGGGGGUAGAAUUCCACGUGUAGCAGUGAAAUGCGUAGAGAUGUGGAGGAAUACCGAUGGCGAAGGCAGCCCCCUGGGGCCAAUACUGACGCUCAUGCACGAAAGCGUGGGGGAGCAAACAGGAUUAGAUACCCUGGUAGUCCAGCGCCCUAAACGAUGUCAACUAGUUGUUGGGGAUUCAUUUCCUUAGUAACGUAGCUAACGCGUGAAGUUUGACCGCCUGGGGGAGUACGGUCGCAAGAUUAAAA